RNAcentral lists this ribosomal RNA (253 nucleotides) under uncultured bacterium. RNAcentral describes it as "partial 16S ribosomal RNA". It matches the Rfam family "Bacterial small subunit ribosomal RNA", at positions 524 to 776 of the family's 1533-position model. The record is from RNAcentral.
UACGUAGGUGGCAAGCGUUGUCCGGAAUUAUUGGGCGUAAAGCGCGCGCAGGCGGUCCUUUAAGUCUGAUGUGAAAGCCCACGGCUCAACCGUGGAAGGUCAUUGGAAACUGGAGGACUUGAGUACAGAAGAAGAAAGCGGAAUUCCACGUGUAGCGGUGAAAUGCGUAGAGAUGUGGAGGAACACCAGUGGCGAAGGCGGCUUUCUGGUCUGUAACUGACGCUGAGGCGCGAAAGCGUGGGGAGCAAACAGG